RNAcentral lists this ribosomal RNA (254 nucleotides) under uncultured bacterium. RNAcentral's name for it is "partial 16S ribosomal RNA". It matches the Rfam family "Bacterial small subunit ribosomal RNA", at positions 524 to 776 of the family's 1533-position model. The record is from RNAcentral.
UACGUAGGGGGCAAGCGUUGUCCGGAUUUAUUGGGCGUAAAGAGCGUGUAGGCGGCCAUUCAGGUCAGCUGUGAAAACUCGAGGCUCAACCUCGAGACGUCGGUUGAAACCGUUUGGCUAGAGUCCGGAAGAGGAGAGUGGAAUUCCCGGUGUAGCGGUGAAAUGCGCAGAUAGUCGGGAGGAACACCGGUGGCGAAGGCGGUUCUCUGGGCCGAUACUGACGCUGAGGAGCGAAAGCGUGGGGAGCGAACAGG